GGGGAGGGGCCAGCUGCUGUGUUCAGUCCGCCAUUGCAAACACGAAGCUCUUCCAGAAACGCCCUCACAGACACCCCGGAAGUCACGUACCCACUCUGUGGGCCUCAUUCAAUCAGUUGAAUUCUUCAAGAGAGAAAAACUGAAGUCCCUUAGAAGGAAAGAGUUCUGCCUUCAGACUGUCUUUGAACUUAAGACUGUAGCGUCGACUCCUGCCGGAAUUUCCAGCCUGCUGGCCAGCUCUGCAGAUUCACACUUGCCAGCCUCCACAAUCGCAGCUGAGGCGGAGGAACCCUAAGGGCUCAUUGAGAUCAUGGAUUUGCCCUUCUAUGCAUUGAUGGAGCACCUGCUGCCCACAGCGUCUGUAUUUGGUGCUGGGAUGCUGAGGACACUGAGAUCUUCAAACAGAGGCUGCCACUCUAAGCAAACAGAUCCCGAGCCCUGGACUCUGAAGCUUGGGCCCAGUUCUCCUUUUCUCCGGGUUUCAGAUCCCACUGUGAAGUGAGGGGGCCCUUCUGAUUCAGGACCCGGGGAAGCCAGGGGCAUGAGCAUCGGUGCCUCUUCUCUAUUUCAAGGACCCUUCUGGGUGUAAAGUUCUCUGAGAUGCCUUACAUGGAUUCCCACCACUGCAAGAUAACCAUCGUAUGUAAAGUGUUAUGACCAGCAGAGCGUAAUUGAAGUGCAUUCCAGAGGGAAAGACAGCGGCUCAGGGACAUGACCCUAUGCCAGCCCACACCACAGUCUUGGUCAUCACUCCUGUUUCCAUGGUGUUAACAGCAGCAGUUACUUGGUUACGGAGAGCUUUUCCUUACGCCAGCACCCUAUCCAUAUCGCUUGGACAGUACGUACACAAUGGUGAUGUUAUUGCUCGUCAUGUAUUACUAGUAAGAGCUUUGUCCCAGCAAGGAAGCCACCCAUGCAUCCACCAAACAUGAGAAACUCAAUCCCCAAAUCUCGUUUUGAAGUUCUGGUUCCUAGUCCAUUCCUAGUAGCCACAAUGAGAUCAGUCAGGGUCUUAGGAGGAAAAAACAUUCACACAGAUGUUUUAAAUGAAGGGACCUUAAUGACUAAACUACUAACAGACCUGUUGGCAUAUUAAGGAAAGAAAUGAGAGAGAUGGGGAAACUAAGGACUGGUAACAGCUGGAAGGCUUUGCCACCCUAAGAAUCAAACAGGGAAGGGAAAGAUGCAGCGUUACCAGGUCCUGUGUGAGCUGGCAUGAAGCCCGGGAGGUACCACCAUGGAGGCAUGGGGCUUCCUGAGAAGUGGUGAGGAAGAAUGGAUGGAGCAGGGAAGCAAGACCCCUUCCACCCACCGGCCCCCUGCUGCUGACCUCUUGGCCAAAUGGGACAGAAGCCAGCUUGCAGGGGCUGCUAUUCCGCCUGUGGGUAUCAGGGCAGAAAGUGGGCAGUUUCAGGGCAGGUGGGGUCAGUCAACAAUUCAGUUCAUCUUUUUCAGUUUUCUUUCUGGAUGAUUUUCAGAUGCUGUCUUGUGGUGUUGGGACUGCAGUUUCAUGAAAAUAUGUCUAGGUGUAGAGUUUGUUUUAUUCUGCUUAGAUAUAGAGUGCUUCCUAUGUUGGUGGAUCCAUCUUUUUUGACAUUAUGGAAAUUGUCUCUUUAAGUGUGUCUACUGCUGUAUUCUUUUUUUUUUUUGUAGGAAAGCAAAUAUAUGCGACUUUUUCAUUCUGUUAUCUAGAGGCAGUUUUGAAUGGUGAUUAAAAGCAUGAUUUCUGAA
RNAcentral lists this long non-coding RNA (1731 nucleotides) under Homo sapiens (human). RNAcentral's name for it is "epigenetically induced MYC interacting lncRNA 1". Lineage: Eukaryota; Metazoa; Chordata; Mammalia; Primates; Hominidae. The record is from RNAcentral.